Molecule: long non-coding RNA, 681 nt
Organism: Lutra lutra (Eurasian river otter)
Lineage: Eukaryota; Metazoa; Chordata; Mammalia; Carnivora; Mustelidae
Exons: 2
Source: RefSeq, a predicted model, not a curated record
AUAUAUUAGCUAAAUUGAUUUAAAUACAAAACAAUUUUUAAAAUUUAGGAUCUUGAGGGAGAAGGACCCGAGAAUUUUUUUACCACCAAAAAGUGACCCCCUCCCCAGAACUCUGGUACACUCUGGAUCUCGUGCAUGCCUAUUCCUGGAACCCUCCUACAGGAGCGGGACAUGCGACCUUAGAUUGAGAUCCUGGAAUCCAGAGGCAACUGUGCAUUGCCCCAGGUGGUGUUGGGGCUCUGGGGUCCAGCAGGUCUCGAGCCUCCCACCUUCUCCUAGCCUGCCCUCCCACCAGCUAGGGAAACCCCCGUGCCCCCCACCCCACUGCCCCAGGCUUGCUGCACAGCAAGAUGCCUCCAUAUCUCUUUCAGAAUAAACAGGAAUAAGAGUUUCAGUUGAACCCUUGGGGUGAGACAGGCAGGUCAGAAUGAGGAAACUAGAUCUCCUCACCCCCUGAGUUCUUGUUGUUCUAGAACACAACUCUAGCAACUACAGUUCCAACCAUCUAAACCUCUGCCAAAACAACCCCAAUGAUGAGACUGUCAGGAGGAACCUGGGCAGCAGAUGCCUCCUUGCCGUGUAAAGAUGACAUGCAGAUCACGCCCCAAAGCUGUGUGAGAGCUGAACGUGUGAGCACAUGCUGUCCGCGCUCCGGAUGCAACGGAAAUCAUCGGCCAUUGU